This is a non-coding RNA of Acanthosepion pharaonis, 112 nucleotides long. NCBI's taxonomy places the organism in Eukaryota, Metazoa, Mollusca, Cephalopoda, Sepiida, Sepiidae. The record is from the annotation of a GenBank genome assembly.
GACGGCCAUAUUACGUUGAAACACCGGAGCUCGUCAGAUCACCAAAUUUAAGCAACGCUGAGUCUUCUUAGGACCCAGAUGGGUGAUCGCUUGGGAAUAUCAGGUACUGUAA